Molecule: ribosomal RNA, 339 nt
Filed under: Triticum aestivum (bread wheat)
Lineage: Eukaryota; Viridiplantae; Streptophyta; Magnoliopsida; Poales; Poaceae
Description: partial small subunit ribosomal RNA
Source: RNAcentral
AUGGCCUCGGAUCCGCGCCGCCGUCGCCGGAGAACGUCGUCCGCCACCGGUUCUUCGAUCACAACUACCGGAUCAAGUUGCCCCGCCUCCGAUCUACCCGUUCCCGGCCACCCCAACCUCGCCUCGUCGUCGGGCGCGCAGAGAGACGGCCAUGGCCGCAAGAUUCCCGAGCGCCGCCGGCCAAGGUGGCCGACCGUGGCCGCCCGAUGCCCGAGCGCCGCCGGCCAAGGACACGCCGGCGGCGCGUCAACUGUGUGCCGCCCUCCAAACAGAGUACAGGAUUCUCUUCUUACAAGCACAUCAGUGCUGGAUACAGGAAGGAAAAGGGAAAGGAACUAG